GGAGGAGUGGCAGAGCGGUUGAUUGCGGCAGUCUUGAAAACUGUUGUGGGUGUAAGCCCACCGAGGGUUCGAAUCCUUCCUCCUCCGCCA
This 90-nucleotide transfer RNA is filed under the name Candidatus Omnitrophota bacterium. Its description in RNAcentral is "tRNA-Ser". It matches the Rfam family "tRNA". Rfam says of the family: Transfer RNA (tRNA) molecules are approximately 80 nucleotides in length. Their secondary structure includes four short double-helical elements and three loops (D, anti-codon, and T loops). Lineage: Bacteria; Pseudomonadati; Candidatus Omnitrophota. The record is from RNAcentral.